CUUGUAUAAGACAACGAUGCCCGGUCAUUUCCUAGGCCCAAACCCUUUUCUGCACAUCCUUUGUACUUUUUUCAUACUUUUGAACUUGGUGAUAACCCGUCACUGUAAUUAUGUAUGAAUAUACAUAUCGGAAUUAGUUUAUUUUAUUCCCUCAGCACCUUGAGGACUCUCCAGGGAGAGGCAUCCUGUUUGCCUCACAUGGACACCUUCAUAUAGCGAAUGUUUCAAGUGUUCCGGAUUAAGCAAAAGUCAAAGUACGCCCGCCACAAGAUUUAGAUUAAGCAAAAGG
Rhodamnia argentea is the source of this 289-nucleotide long non-coding RNA. RefSeq lists it as uncharacterized. Lineage: Eukaryota; Viridiplantae; Streptophyta; Magnoliopsida; Myrtales; Myrtaceae. The record is from RefSeq and is a predicted model, not a curated record. The transcript is spliced from 2 exons.